Molecule: ribosomal RNA, 472 nt
Filed under: uncultured bacterium
Lineage: Bacteria
Description: SSU rRNA
Rfam family: Bacterial small subunit ribosomal RNA
Source: RNAcentral
AGGACGAACGCUGGCGGCGUGCUUAACACAUGCAAGUCGAACGGAAAGGCCCCUUCGGGGGUACUCGAGUGGCGAACGGGUGAGUAACACGUGGGCAACCUGCCCCUAGCUCUGGGAUAACACUUGGAAACAGGUGCUAAUACCGGAUAACGACAUUCCAUGGCAUCUUGGACUGUCCAAAGUUUUUCGGCUAGGGAUGGGCCCGCGGCCUAUCAGCUUGUUGGUGGGGUAAUGGCCUACCAAGGCGACGACGGGUAGCCGGCCUGAGAGGGCGACCGGCCACACUGGGACUGAGACACGGCCCAGACUCCUACGGGAGGCAGCAGUGGGGAAUAUUGGACAAUGGGCGAAAGCCUGAUCCAGCAAUGCCGCGUGAGUGAUGAAGGCCGUUAGGUUGUAAAGCUCUUUUACCAGGGAUGAUAAUGACAGUACCUGGAGAAUAAGCUCCGGCUAACUCCGCGCCAGCAGCCGC